This 1412-nucleotide unclassified non-coding RNA is filed under the name Hevea brasiliensis (rubber tree). Lineage: Eukaryota; Viridiplantae; Streptophyta; Magnoliopsida; Malpighiales; Euphorbiaceae. The record is from RNAcentral.
AAAAAAAUGAAAUUGCACAACACAAUCAAAAUUAAAUACCAAAAAAAAAACUCUUUCAAAAAACAAUUUUUUAAAAAAAGAAAAUAUAUCUAUGUGCAAGCCAAAAUAACAUUAUGGUUCCAUUAUUAUCAAAUAAUGGCAACAGAAAUAAUGCUAAUUACAACUGUAACAAACAAUCCACUACUCUUCACAUGAUUAGCGAAGUUCAAAUUUGCUGAAUCAUCCGCCGGAUCUUCAUCGUCGUCCUGGCUGGGCUCCGGUGCACCGUCGUCGUCAACAUCAUCGUCUCCUCCCUUGCUGCUCUUCUUCUUUUUCUUUGCACCUUUCGGAGCUGGAGCUGGUUCUUCAGCUACAGUUCCUUUGAAUAAUUCUCUGGGGAGUAAAACUUUAUCGACUUUGUAAACGGAUAACGGCUCUUCGUCGUAUAAUGUACCGGAGAUGGUUGCUGUAACAACUUUGGUUUCCAAUUUCACAUCGUCUCCGUCGUUUUGUACGGUGAAAUCGUAUUUUUUUUUACCUUCAGUAGCUAGAGUGUUCAUUAAUCCGUUGUUGGAUUUCAACAUCCCCAUGGAAUUGUAAACAGGGAUUCCAUGGUACAGUAGUAAUGAAGCUUGCCCGUCUUUGGUUAGGUUUUUGAAUUUGGGCAUAAAGGCGGUGAUUACGCCGUCGGUGGGGCAGAACACUGUUAACCCACUCUGUACAUUUUCAGCGAAGGUUUUGGCUACAUCUGGGUGAGAUUUCAACAGAUCUGAGAAUGAUUUACAUCCUUGUUUCGCCAUUAAUGUAGUGACGUUAAGGUCACUUGGAGCAGCUACCGGAGCUUCAGCGGCGGCGGAAGUGAGAAUAUGACUGAUUUGAAUAACGGAGAUGUUGUACGGCAUUUCCACGACGGAUUUAACGAAAGUAGCAGCGAAAUGGCCGUCGUUGUCUUCAUUGGCGAAACCUACUUUCCCACCUUUCAUAUUUGUGAUAUUGAUGUACCCUGAAGUUCCCGGAGCUUCGCCGGUAGCUUGGAACAUUGUGGCGGUGAGGGUACUUCCUUUAGUGAUUUGAUGGAGUUUUUUGGCGCCGAAGUAAUCGGCGAAUACGUGGAGAGAAAGAACGUUUUUGAGAGUAUAAGUAGGGAGGUGUUUUUCAAGGAGAACAUUCAUGGCGGCAUUGUCAAUUGCGCAGACAGUGAUGGUCUGUCGGCGGUUGAUUUCAGCAGCUAAGUGUGUAACAGUUAAGUAAUGGUUGAAGGUGGAGAAUUCAGGGUGUUUUGCGAGGAUUUUAGUGAUGUUGUGAGCGUAUGUGGUGGUGGAGAGAAAUAGGAAUAGAAGAAGAGUGACGGAAAGUGGUACCGCCGGCGAGACCUUCAUUUUUGCCGGCGAGAGUAGAGAGAUGGAGAUUUGUUCUUUCAAAGAGGAGAAAGA